This 27-nucleotide small RNA is filed under the name Bombyx mori (domestic silkworm). RNAcentral's name for it is "ovarian small RNA-4575". Lineage: Eukaryota; Metazoa; Arthropoda; Insecta; Lepidoptera; Bombycidae. The record is from RNAcentral.
AGUCCAACUAAAUGACUUACUUCAGUU